This 1144-nucleotide ribosomal RNA is filed under the name uncultured Thermoplasmataceae archaeon. RNAcentral's name for it is "bacterial SSU rRNA". It matches the Rfam family "Archaeal small subunit ribosomal RNA", at positions 1 to 1151 of the family's 1478-position model. The record is from RNAcentral. Lineage: Archaea; Methanobacteriati; Thermoplasmatota; Thermoplasmata; Thermoplasmatales; Thermoplasmataceae.
UCCGGUUGAUCCUGCCGGCGGCUACUGCUAUCAGGUUUCNACUAAGCCAUGNGAGUCAAGGGGUCGUAAGACACCGGCGUACUGCUCAGUAACACGCGGACAAUCUACCCCCAGGUGGGGGAUAACCUCGGGAAACUGAGGCUAAUACCCCAUAGUUGUCAUGUGCUGGAAUGCUUUGACGAUGAAAGAAUUUCGCCUGAGGAUGAGUCUGCGGCCUAUCAGGUAGUAUGUGGUGUAAAGGACCACAUAGCCUAAGACGGGUACGGGCCUUGAAAGAGGGAGCCCGGAGAUGGACUCUGAGACACUAGUCCAGGCCCUACGGGGCGCAGCAGGCGCGAAAACUGUGCAAUGCGCGCAAGCGCGACACGGGAAGCCUGAGCGCCUUAACUAUGUUUAAGGNUUUUCUUGAUCCUAAAAAGCUCAAGGAAUAANAGNUGGGUAAGACGGGUGNCAGCCGCCGCGGUAACACCCGCCGGCUCGAGUGGUAGNCACUUUUAUUGAGNCUAAAGCGUUUGUAGCCGGAUUUGNAAANUCUCUAGGAAAAUACUUCUGCUUAACUGNAGAAAUUUUGGAGAGACUGCAAAUCUAGGGACCGGGUGAGGUUGAAUGUACUUCUGGGGUAGGGGUAAAAUCCUGUAAUCCUGGAAGGACGACCGGUGGCGAAGGCGUUCAACUAGAACGGAUCCGACGGUGAGGAACGAAGGCUAGGGGAGCAAACCGGAUUAGAUACCCGGGUAGUCCUAGCUGUAAACACUGCCCACUUGGUGUUGCAUCUCCGGUAAGGGGGUGCAGUGCCGUAGCGAAGGUGUUAAGUGGGCCGCUUGGGGAGUAUGGUCGCAAGGCUGAAACUUAAAGGAAUUGGCGGGGGAGCACCGCAACGGGAGGAGCGUGCGGUUUAAUUGGAUUCAACGCCGGAAAACUCACCGGAGGCGACCUGUGUAUGAGAGUCAACCUGAUGAAUUUACUCGAUAGCAGGAGAGGUGGUGCAUGGCCGUCGUCAGCUCGUACCGUAGGGCGUUCACUUAAGUGUGAUAACGAGCGAGACCCCCAUCUUCAAUUGCUAAGCUAACCGUGAGGUUGGUAGAACUUUGAAGGGACCGCCAGUGCAGAACUGGAGGAAGGAGGGGUCGACGGCAGGUCAGUA